Unclassified non-coding RNA from Apis florea (little honeybee), 1177 nucleotides. Lineage: Eukaryota; Metazoa; Arthropoda; Insecta; Hymenoptera; Apidae. The record is from RefSeq and is a predicted model, not a curated record.
UUUUAAAGACAUGUUUUUGAUAUUCAAGAGAUGGCGCUGAUAUUAUAAUUUUUAUUCUAUCUCUUUUUCUUAUUAUUUGCUUGGUUCUUCUAAACUGUGUAUUGUAUAAAGUUUACUUAUGAUACGUGAAAACGAUAGCUCCGUAAGAAAUUAUAAAUCUUUGAAAUAGUAUUGGCUAAUAGGUUAACUUUUAUAACAAUUUUGUUUACUAGUAAUCCUAUAAACAAUAUUAUUAAAUAAUGGUUAAAUUAACGCCAGAUUUAAUUCAACAAUCUAUGCAAUAUAUUAAUCCUGUAAAAGAUCGGGAAUUGGAUCUGAGAGGAUAUAAAAUACCUACAAUUGAAAACUUGGGCGCAACUUUGGAUCAAUUUGACACUAUUGAUUUUUCUGAUAAUGAUAUAAGAAAAUUAGAUGGAUUUCCUUUAUUAAAAAGAAUCAAAACUCUUUUUUUUAAUAAUAAUCGUAUUGUUAGAAUUGGAGAAGGAUUGGAACAUUGUAUUCCAAAUUUAGAAACUCUUAUGUUAACUGGAAACAUGAUUCAAGAACUUGGUGAUUUGGAACCACUCACACAAUUAAAAAAUUUAACUAAUCUUUGUUUGCUACAAAAUCCAGUUUCUGCAAAACCUCAAUAUAGACAAUAUGUUGUAUAUAGAUUUCCACAAUUGAGACUUUUAGAUUUCCGAAAAAUCAAGAUGAAAGAACGUGAAGCUGCAAUUGCAUAUUUUAGAAGUAAAAGAGGAAAAGAAAUGGUUCGUGAAAUAGCAAAGAAAGUAAAAACACAAAAUUCUGGUACAUCUAUCGACAAACCACUAACAACUCCAGAAGAACGAAAUAAAAUUAGGGAAGCUAUUACAAAUGCUUCUUCCCUUGAAGAAGUGCAGCGUCUUAGCAAAUUACUUCAAGCAGGACAUAUGCCUAAUGAAGAUAGAUUACAAAAUGGAAAUACAAUGCCUGAAGCAAUGGAAGAAGAGGAUGAUUGAAUUAUUUUGUAUUUUUCAAUUUUAAAUGCAACAAGAAAAAUUUUUUCUAUUAUUAUAAUAUCACUAGAGGUCAGUAUUGUGCGUUAUUCGCACUCUCUUGAUUUUGUGUUAUUUUUCCGAUUAAAAUUCUAUAUUAUAUUAAUAAAAUGGGUAAUACAUUACAAAAAGCAUUAAGUUCAGAUCCUUUUCCGGAAUCG